CCGGGGAGCUGGGCAGCCGCGCCGUUCGCAAGAAUGUCGAGGAAAGUCCGGGCUCCACGAAACAAGGGUGGCGGGUAACGCCCGCCGGGUGAGGAGGGCUUUCAGGCCCUUCGAAGCUCAGGGAAAGUGCCACAGAGAGCAGACCGCUAACCCCGCUCGUCCCGAGCUUGUCGAAGGAUCGGGUGGGGCAGCAAGGGUGAAAGGGUGCGGCAAGAGCGCACCGCGCUUCCGGUAACGGCAGCGGCAUGGCAAACCCCACCCGGAGCAAGACCGAAUAGGGGCUGCGUCCCGGACGAGUCCAACGACUUGGCCCGGGGGGGUCGGUUUCGGACCCAGGCAGCCCGGGUUGGUCGCUGGAGCGAUGCGGCAACGCAUCGCCGAGAGGAAUGGCUGCCGCCGCGGCGUAAGGUCCCUCGUUAGGGAGACCACGCCAGGUACAGAACCCGGCUUACAGGCUCCCCGGCAUA
This 467-nucleotide RNase P RNA is filed under the name Novosphingobium sp. CF614. RNAcentral's name for it is "Bacterial RNase P class A". It matches the Rfam family "Bacterial RNase P class A". From Rfam's summary of the family: Ribonuclease P (RNase P) is a ubiquitous endoribonuclease, found in archaea, bacteria and eukarya as well as chloroplasts and mitochondria. Lineage: Bacteria; Pseudomonadati; Pseudomonadota; Alphaproteobacteria; Sphingomonadales; Sphingomonadaceae. The record is from Rfam by way of RNAcentral.